UCAUACAUACAGAUCUCAGGCUGAUCUCAGAACAGGUAAUACAGAGGUCUUAGGCUGAUCUCAGAACAGCUGAUCUCAGAUCAGAUCACACAUUGAGCUCUCAAUCUGAUCUCAGAUCAGAUCAUACAUACAGCUCUCAAGCUGAUCUCUGAUCAGGUAAUACAUACAGGUCUCAAGCUGACCUCAGAUCAGGUCAUACAUAGAGGUCUUAGGCUGAUCUCAGAAAAGGUCAUACAUACAGAUUUUAGGCUGAUCUCAGAACAGCUGAUCUCAGAUCAGGUCGCAAAUGGAGCUCUCAAGCUGAUCUCAGAUCAGGUCAUACAUACAGCUCUCAAGCUGAUCUCAGAUCAGGUCAUACAUACAGCUCUCAGGCUGAUCUCAGACAUCUGAUCUCAGAUCAGGUCACAUAUAGAGCUCUCAAGCUGAUCUCUGAUCCGGUAAUACAUACAGGUCUCAAGCUGAUCUCAGAUCAGGUCAUACAUAGAGCUCUCUGGCUGAUCUCAGAUCAGGUAAUACAUACAGCUCUCAGGCUGAACUCAGACAUCUGACCUCAGAUCAGGUCACACAUAGAGCUCUCAAACUGAUCUCAGAUCAGGUCAUUCAUACUGCUCUCAGGCAGAUCUCAGAGAGCUGAUCUCAGAUCAGGUCACACAUUGAGCUCUCAAACUGAUCUCAGAUCAGGUCAUACAUACAGCUCUCAAGCUGAUCUCAGAUCAGGUCAUACAUACAGGUCUUAGGCUGAUCUCAGAACAGGUCAUACAGAGGUAUUAGGCUGAUCUCAGAACAGCUGAUCUCAGAUCAGGUCACACAUUGAGCUCUCAAACUGAUCUCACAUCAGGUCAUACAUACAGCUCUCAAGCUGAUCUCAGAUCAUGUCAUACAUACAGCUCUCAGGCUGAUCUCAGACAUCUGAUCUCAGAUCAGGUCACACAUAGAGCUCUCAAACUGAUCUCAGAUCAGGUCAUUCAUACUGCUCUCAGGCAGAUCUCAGACAGCUGAUCUCAGAUCAGGUCACAUAUAGAGCUCUCAAACUGAUCUCAGAUCAGGUCACACAUAGAGCUCUCAAGCUGAUCUCAGAUCAGGUCAUACAUAUAGAUCUCAGGCUGAUCUCAGACAGCUGAUCUCAGAUCAGGUCCCACAUUGAGCUCUCAAGCUGAUCUCAGAUCAGGUCAUACAUACAGCUCUCAAGCUGAUCUCAGAUCAGGUCAUAAAUUCAGGUCUUAGGGUGAUCGCAAAUCAGGUCACACAUAGAGCUCUCAAACUGAUCUCAGAUCAGAUCAUACAUACAGCUCUGAAGCUGAUCUCAGAUCAGAUCAUACAUACAGCUCUGAAGCUGAUCUCAGAUCAGGUCAUACAUACAGCUCUUAAGCUGAUCUCAGAUCAGGUCAGACAUACAGCUGUCAAACUGAUAUCAAAUCAGGUCAUACAUACAGGUCUUAGGGUGAUCGCAGAUCAGGUCACACAUAGAGCUCUCAAACUGAUCUCAGAUCAGUUCAUACAUACAGCUCUGAAGCUGAUCUCAGAUCAGGUCAUACAUACAGCUCUUAAGCUGAUCUCAGAUCAGGUCAGACAUACAGCUGUCAAACUGAUAUCAAAUCAGGUCAUACAUUCAGGUCUUAGGGUGAUCGCAGAUCAGGUCACACAUAGAGCUCUCAAACUGAUCUCAGAUCAGAUCAUACAUACAGCUCUGAAGCUGAUCUCAGAUCAGGUCAUACAUACAGCUCUUAAGCUGAUCUCAGAUCAGGUCAGACAUACAGCUGUCAAACUGAU
Brienomyrus brachyistius is the source of this 1770-nucleotide long non-coding RNA. RefSeq lists it as uncharacterized. Lineage: Eukaryota; Metazoa; Chordata; Actinopteri; Osteoglossiformes; Mormyridae. The record is from RefSeq and is a predicted model, not a curated record. The transcript is spliced from 4 exons.